Molecule: long non-coding RNA, 2925 nt
Organism: Ctenopharyngodon idella (grass carp)
Lineage: Eukaryota; Metazoa; Chordata; Actinopteri; Cypriniformes; Xenocyprididae
Exons: 2
Source: RefSeq, a predicted model, not a curated record
CAAGCCUGCAACCUUUAGCCAAAAAAGCGUAACGGCUAAUGCUAACGCUCCGCCUCUGGCGGCACGCAGGGAAGGAGACCAGAGCCCAUUUUUUGAAUGGAUGUCAAUGGAUGAGAGGCUUCACUAUGCUGAUUAAACAGCUUUUGUGUGGAAAUAGCUAAUCAUUUAAUUAAUCGACAGCCUGUUUGUAGAUUUUAGCUUGAUAAAAAUGUACUUUUUUAAGAGAAGGCAGACUAAGGAAUGUUCUCGGAAUCAGAUUUAUAUUUUGACACUCCUAACACAAAUAGCCAAACAUCAACUAAAAAUAUUUUAAAUGUUAAUGUUUAAAAAAAAAAAAAAAUGUAAAUGUACAAUAAAAAAAAUAGGCUUAUAAAAAUCGGAAAGCGCUCGAGUGGCCUCCACGCAAAAACGCGAUUUAGCGAACUUCGUGUUAGCGAACUGCGCUCUGAUUAAAAGCGCCGUAAAUGUUUCUUUCCUUAUACUUAUUCAUAUAUAUAUAUAUAUAUAUAUAGUAUAUAAUUUUUUUUGCGCAUUUACACACAUGCCUGUAUAUAAUGAACAAAAAUAAAUUAGGAGAGGAGGGGGGGCUCACGGAAAAUAAUGCCCCCCUUUCGGCUUCAGCGAGGAUGUUUUUCUAGACACAAAACGAAGACAAAAUAGACAUUUUAGAGACACAAUAGGCUAACUGCAAUCUGCUCACUCUAUCCCCUUUAUUAAAAAGGCCUACUUUUGUUUUACACAAUAUUUACUCAAAAUCUACUGGACAAAAGCAAAGCAUAAAUUGUAUCAACCGAUUAGGCUGUCAUUAGAUUUUUAUUGUCGUCAAUGCUAAUACUAGGCUAUGUAAUCGGUCUCAAGAUGUGUUUACAUGAGCAGCGCAGAUUGAAGUCUUUGGCCUUUUGUUUGUAAAGGAAUCCAGUUACAAUGUUGCAACUGAUGUCACUGCCAUUACACGAUAGGCUGAGAGGUGCCGCACGUGAUUAAGUUAGCCGUUACACUUUCUCCAAUGGUAAGAGGUACAGACCCUCUCAUCUCCCUACAAUAGUGGCCCUGUCCCAAAUGGCACCCUAAACACUCACGGCCUUCCUACGAGUCUGCACUUUCGUGACGUAACGUCGCUUUGACUGUCGGGAAGAAGUCUGUAGCGGAGCUCACACCAGUGCGGGCUCAGCAAAAGUGCGCAUCGAGGGCGCAUAUCGGCCACAAAGGGGGCGCUCGCAAGCACCCUUCUGAAGCCUAAAAUUGACAAAUGGGACACCCUACGGUCUCGUGGACUUAACGGACAUGCGUACACGGCAGCCAUUAUAAGUCCACAAGACCGAAAGUGCAUAGACGUGUGCCAUUUGGGACAGGGCCAUACAAUCUCUGCUUUUCUGACAUGGGUGUUUUCAAAUGUGAGUAUUAAAAAAACUAAAAACACAGUUCCUUGUGUUAAAAUCACAUUUGUUGAGCUACUGUAGAGUAAACUGCUGAAGGUGUAAAGAUGCUAGACAGUAUAGUUGUGAUUUUGCAGUAAAAACACAUUUUAUUAUGUAUAGAUAGCAGGGGAGCUUUAGUAAGCACACAUAACUUAAUUCUCCAAAGUGGAUUUACAUAAAUUCUAAACCAUAUACAUCAUAUACAAGAUGCUUACUAAAGGUUUAUUUCUAUCUAUUUAAAUCUUAAGUUGUAGUUUAUUUUAAUUAUUGUAAUUUCAAACAGAGCUAUUACCGCUUUUUCCUGAUUCUUGAUGUCUGUAUGUUUGCUGCAGAGCUUUUGUGGUGUAGCAGGACCUGCAAAGCAAGGUGAUGGCGGGGGGCGGGGGAAAGAAAGUAAGACAGACGACAUUGUGCUGUUAAAAUGAUUGCAUUUGUAUGACGUUUGUGCAUUUUUGUAUCUGAAAUGUCCUCAGAGUGGUGUGAGCACUUAGAUGCCCAGAUGUUACUGUGGUCUCUUCAUCCUCAGUGAGCCAGCGAGAGCAUCUAAAAAAAGACCAAAAGACUUUGAGGAUGUGAUUUUGGUCAAGUUUGUUCUGCUGGUUUCCGUUCAUACAUUGGAGCCCAACUUUCAUAAGCUUCAAAAGCAUCAUCAAAUAAUCUUCAUGAAUCUUCUGGAAGUCAGGCUUCAUUGACUGAUACUGUAUGAACAGAAACCAGCAGGACAAACUUGACCAAAAUCAUCUUUUGUGUUCAGAAAAAAAAAAAGGAGAAAAUAAAGGAACACAGGGUUUGAACAGUGUGAAGGCGAGUAAAUAAUAACUGAAUUUAUAUGUUUGGGUGAACUAACCCUUUAUGCCCCCAAAUAGAAACUGUAUGAAAUGUAUGUAUGCAUUUAUAUUAUAGUAGUACCUUGAAAAAGUAAACUUUAUGAAAUAAACAGCUUUAAUUAGCGUUUGUGCCCCAGACACUAACAAAAAAGGAUUUACAAAAUCACAUUUACAUUUGGCAGAUGUUUUUAUCCAAAGUGACUUACAGUGCUCUUAUAACUGGGACGAUCAAUGAGGAGUAACCUGGAUUAAAGUGUCUCGAUCAAGGACACACUGGUGGUGACGCUGUGGAGAUCAAACCAGCAACCUUCUGCUUACCAGUUCAGUGGUUUAGCCCACUAUACACCACAAAAGUAGUCAUAGAGCACAUGAAUGUUUGGAGCAGCGGCAGCCAGAUUGUCCCGCACAUCUUCUCCCACUCUUGCUUUAAGGUUGAGGGGUUCAAGGGUCCAUUAUCAUGGUCUUCCUCAUCCUCUGGGUCAACAAUGUCCCCAUUGAGAAGAGCAACAGUGAGGGACAUGAUGGAUGGCAAAGACAGGCGAAGGUGUUCACGGUGGUCAGCUGCUUUAUCAAAAUAAAGGCACAGCUGUGUUGAGAUGGCAGUGGGAUGUGCGGAUCACCGCCUGCAAAUACGUGAUUGUUAGAACAAUAAGUUUGAAUAAAGCUUUGUUUCAUGUGUU